This 253-nucleotide ribosomal RNA is filed under the name uncultured bacterium. RNAcentral describes it as "partial 16S ribosomal RNA". It matches the Rfam family "Bacterial small subunit ribosomal RNA", at positions 524 to 776 of the family's 1533-position model. The record is from RNAcentral.
UACAGAGGGGGCAAGCGUUAUUCGGAAUUAUUGGGCGUAAAGGGCGCGUAGGCGGCUUUGCAAGUGGCGGGUGAAAUCCCUCGGCUUAACCGGGGAACUGCGUCUGAUACUGGAUGGCUUGAGUUCGGGAGAGGGAUGCGGAAUUCCAGGUGUAGCGGUGAAAUGCGUAGAUAUCUGGAGGAACACCGGUGGCGAAGGCGGCAUCCUGGACCGACACUGACACUGAGGAGCGAAAGCCAGGGGAGCAAACGGG